GACGAACGCUGGCGGCGUGCCUAAUACAUGCAAGUCGAACGAGUGGCGGACGGGUGAGUAACACGUGGGAACCUACCCAUAAGAGGGGGAUAACACUUGGAAACAGGUGCUAAUACCGCAUACUGAUGGAUGGACCCGGGGUGCAUUAGCUAGUUGGUGAGGUAACGGCUCACCUAGGCGACGAUCCCUAGCUGGGCUGAGAGGAUGAUCAGCCACACUGGGACUGAGACACGGCCCAGACUCCUACGGGAGGCAGCAGUGGGGAAUAUUGCACAAUGGGCGCAAGCCUGAUGCAGCCAUGCCGCGUGUAUGAAGAAGGCCUUCGGGUUGUAAAGUACUUUCAGUCGGGAGGCGUUACCGACAGAAGAAGCACCGGCUAACUCCGUGCCAGCCGCCGCGGUAAUAC
RNAcentral lists this ribosomal RNA (406 nucleotides) under uncultured bacterium. RNAcentral's name for it is "partial 16S ribosomal RNA". It matches the Rfam family "Bacterial small subunit ribosomal RNA", at positions 28 to 526 of the family's 1533-position model. The record is from RNAcentral.